RNAcentral lists this ribosomal RNA (787 nucleotides) under Enterococcus faecium. RNAcentral's name for it is "bacterial SSU rRNA". It matches the Rfam family "Bacterial small subunit ribosomal RNA", at positions 25 to 783 of the family's 1533-position model. The record is from RNAcentral. Lineage: Bacteria; Bacillati; Bacillota; Bacilli; Lactobacillales; Enterococcaceae.
CAGGACGAACGCUGGCGGCGUGCCUAAUACAUGCAAGUCGAACGCUUCUUUUUCCACCGGAGCUUGCUCCACCGGAAAAAGAGGAGUGGCGAACGGGUGAGUAACACGUGGGUAACCUGCCCAUCAGAAGGGGAUAACACUUGGAAACAGGUGCUAAUACCGUAUAACAAUCRAAACCGCAUGGUUUUGAUUUGAAAGGCGCUUUCGGGUGUCGCUGAUGGAUGGACCCGCGGUGCAUUAGCUAGUUGGUGAGGUAACGGCUCACCAAGGCCACGAUGCAUAGCCGACCUGAGAGGGUGAUCGGCCACAUUGGGACUGAGACACGGCCCAAACUCCUACGGGAGGCAGCAGUAGGGAAUCUUCGGCAAUGGACGAAAGUCUGACCGAGCAACGCCGCGUGAGUGAAGAAGGUUUUCGGAUCGUAAAACUCUGUUGUUAGAGAAGAACAAGGAUGAGAGUAACUGUUCAUCCCUUGACGGUAUCUAACCAGAAAGCCACGGCUAACUACGUGCCAGCAGCCGCGGUAAUACGUAGGUGGCAAGCGUUGUCCGGAUUUAUUGGGCGUAAAGCGAGCGCAGGCGGUUUCUUAAGUCUGAUGUGAAAGCCCCCGGCUCAACCGGGGAGGGUCAUUGGAAACUGGGAGACUUGAGUGCAGAAGAGGAGAGUGGAAUUCCAUGUGUAGCGGUGAAAUGCGUAGAUAUAUGGAGGAACACCAGUGGCGAAGGCGGCUCUCUGGUCUGUAACUGACGCUGAGGCUCGAAAGCGUGGGGAGCAAACAGGAUUAGAU